This 72-nucleotide transfer RNA is filed under the name Phrynosoma platyrhinos (Desert horned lizard). Its description in RNAcentral is "tRNA-OTHER". The record is from RNAcentral. Lineage: Eukaryota; Metazoa; Chordata; Lepidosauria; Squamata; Phrynosomatidae.
GCCAGCAUGGUGUAGUGGUUUGAGUGUUGGACUUCCACUCUGGAUACCUGGGUUUGAUUCCCCAUUCUGCCA